This 844-nucleotide ribosomal RNA is filed under the name uncultured bacterium. RNAcentral describes it as "bacterial SSU rRNA". It matches the Rfam family "Bacterial small subunit ribosomal RNA", at positions 8 to 862 of the family's 1533-position model. The record is from RNAcentral.
AGAGUUUGAUCCUGGCUCAGGAUGAACGCUGGCGGCGUGCCUAACACAUGCAAGUCGAACGGAGUGUUGAGAGCUUGCUUUUAACACUUAGUGGCGGACGGGUGAGUAAUGUAUGAGCAACCCGCCUUUCAGAGGGGGACAACAGUUGGAAACGACUGCUAAUACCGCAUAAUGUGCGUUGAAGGCAUCUUCGAUGUACCAAAGGAGCAAUCCGCUGAAAGAUGGGCUCAUAUCCGAUUAGCUAGUUGGUGAGGUAACGGCUCACCAAGGCUGCGAUCAGUAGCCGGACUGAGAGGUUGAACGGCCACAUUGGGACUGAGAUACGGCCCAGACUCCUACGGGAGGCAGCAGUGGGGAAUAUUGGGCAAUGGGCGAAAGCCUGACCCAGCAACGCCGCGUGAAGGAAGAAGGUCUUCGGAUUGUAAACUUCUUUUAUGAGGGACGAAGGACGUGACGGUACCUCAUGAAUAAGCCACGGCUAACUACGUGCCAGCAGCCGCGGUAAUACGUAGGUGGCAAGCGUUAUCCGGAUUUACUGGGUGUAAAGGGCGCGUAGGCGGGGAUGCAAGUCAGAUGUGAAAUCUAUGGGCUUUACUCAUAAACUGCAUUUGAAACUGUAUCUCUUGAGUGCUGGAGAGGUAGACGGAAUUCCUUGUGUAGCGGUGAAAUGCGUAGAUAUAAGGAAGAACACCAGUGGCGAAGGCGGUCUACUGGACAGUAACUGACGCUGAGGCGCGAAAGCGUGGGGAGCAAACAGAAUUAGAUACCCUGGUAGUCCACGCUGUAAACGAUGAAUACUAGGUGUGGGGGGACCGACCCUCUCCGUGCCCCAAUUAACACAAUA